RNAcentral lists this ribosomal RNA (245 nucleotides) under uncultured bacterium. RNAcentral's name for it is "partial small subunit ribosomal RNA". It matches the Rfam family "Bacterial small subunit ribosomal RNA", at positions 26 to 285 of the family's 1533-position model. The record is from RNAcentral.
AGAAUCAACGCUGGCGGCGUGCCUAACACAUGCAAGUCGAACGAGAAAGUGGAGCAAUCCAUGAGUAAAGUGGCUCACGGGUGAGUAACACGUGACUAACCUACCCUUGAGUGGGGGAUAACCUAGAGAAAUCUGGGCUAAUACCGCAUAAUACCUUCGGGUCAAAGGAGCAAUUCGCUUAAGGAGGGGGUCGCGGCCGAUUAGUUAGUUGGCGGGGUAAUGGCCCACCAAGACUAUGAUCGGUA